UACAGAGGUCUCAAGCGUUGUUCGGAUUCAUUGGGCGUAAAGGGCGCGUAGGCGGCCUUCUAAGUCGAACGUGAAAUCCCCGGGCUCAACCCGGGAACUGCGUCCGAUACUGGAAGGCUUGAAUCCGGGAGAGGGAUGCGGAAUUCCAGGUGUAGCGGUGAAAUGCGUAGAUAUCUGGAGGAACACCGGUGGCGAAGGCGGCAUCCUGGACCGGCAUUGACGCUGAGGCGCGAAAGCGUGGGGAGCGAACAGG
RNAcentral lists this ribosomal RNA (253 nucleotides) under uncultured bacterium. RNAcentral describes it as "partial 16S ribosomal RNA". It matches the Rfam family "Bacterial small subunit ribosomal RNA", at positions 524 to 776 of the family's 1533-position model. The record is from RNAcentral.